RNAcentral lists this ribosomal RNA (468 nucleotides) under uncultured bacterium. Its description in RNAcentral is "partial 16S ribosomal RNA". It matches the Rfam family "Bacterial small subunit ribosomal RNA", at positions 28 to 507 of the family's 1533-position model. The record is from RNAcentral.
GACGAACGCUGGCGGCGUGCUUAACACAUGCAAGUCGAACGGCAAGGCCCUGCUUUUUUGGGCUGCCCGAGUGGCGAACGGGUGAGUAACACGUGAGUAACCUGCCCUUCAUUUUGGUAUAACUUCAGGUAAGUGGGGCUAAUACCGGACAGGAGCCCCCGCAGCAUGGUAGGGGUUGGAAAGUUUCGGCGGUUGGGGAUGGACUCGCGGCUUAUCAGCUUGUUGGUGGGGUAGUGGCUUACCAAGGCUUUGACGGGUCGCCGGCCUGAGAGGGUGACCGGGCACAUUGGGACUGAGAUACGGCCCAGACUGCUACGGGAGACAGCAGUGGGAAAUAUUGCACAAUAGGCGGAAGCGUGAUGAAGCGACGUCGCGUGCGGGAUGACGGCCUUCGGGUAGUAAACCGCUUUCGCCUGAGACGAAGCGUGAGUGACGGUAAUGGGAAAAGAAGCACCGGCUAACUACGUG